Molecule: ribosomal RNA, 448 nt
Filed under: uncultured bacterium
Lineage: Bacteria
Description: bacterial SSU rRNA
Rfam family: Bacterial small subunit ribosomal RNA
Source: RNAcentral
UGGCCAGACUCCUACGGGAGGCAGCAGUGGGGGAUAUUGCACAAUGGGGGGAACCCUGAUGCAGCGACGCCGCGUGGGUGAAGGAGUAUUUCGGUCUGUAAAGCCCUAUCGGCAGGGAAGAAGCAAGACGGUACCUGACUAAGAAGCCCCGGCUAACUACGUGCCAGCAGCCGCGGGAAUACGUAGGGGGCGAGCGUUAUCCGGAUUCACUGGGUGUAAAGGGAGCGUAGACGGCCAUGCAAGCCAGGGGUGAAAGCCCGGGGCCCAACCCCGGGACUGCUCUUGGAACUGCGCGGCUGGAGUGCAGGAGGGGCAGGCGGAAUUCCUGGUGUAGCGGUGAAAUGCGUAGAUAUUAGGAGGAACACCAGUGGCGAAGGCGGCUUACUGGACUGUAACUGACGUUGAGGCUCGAAAGCGUGGGGAGCAAACAGGAUUAGAUACCCCUGUA